GCAAGUGCACGAAUCGCGUCAAAGUAAUAUAAAAGAAUAUUGAUCCCAUAGAGACCAAAUUGUCAAUCUAUCGAUUACUAUUGUUACGAUGUUUAUCUAAGGCGGUACAAAUGAGAUAUUGAUGUCGCAAAAUAAUAGUAAAUAAAGAAAAUGAUAAAUAUAGUGCAAAUAAAGAUAGGCUUGAAUGUAUUUCACGUCAGUUAAAUGAUGCUUCGAUUGUCUAAAUAGAACUACUUAUGGGGCAAUAUUUUCUACUCUUG
RNAcentral lists this long non-coding RNA (260 nucleotides) under Lathyrus oleraceus (garden pea). RNAcentral describes it as "Pisum sativum (pea) long non-coding RNA (PSAT_LNC025712)". Lineage: Eukaryota; Viridiplantae; Streptophyta; Magnoliopsida; Fabales; Fabaceae. The record is from RNAcentral.